GACGAACGCUGGCGGCGUGCUUAACACAUGCAAGUCGAACGGAAAGGCCCUGCUUUUGUUGGGUGCUCGAGUGGCGAACGGGUGAGUAACACGUGAGUAACCUGCCCUUGACUUUGGGAUAACUUCAGGAAACUGGGGCUACUACCGGUUAGGAGCUCCUGCUGCAUGGUGGGGGUUGGAAAGUUUCGGCGGUUGGGGAUGGACUCGCGGCUUAUCAGCUUGUUGGUGGGGUAGUGGCUUACCAAGGCUUUGACGGGUAGCCGGCCUGAGAGGGUGCCCGGCCACAUUGGGACUGAGAUACGGCCCAGACUCCUACGGGAGGCAGCAGUGGGGAAUAUUGCACAAUGGGCGGAAGCCUGAGGCAGCAACGCCGCGUGCGGGAUGACGGCCUUCGGGUUGUAGACCGCUUUCGCCUGUGACGAAGCGUGAGUGACGGUAAUGGGUAAAGAAGCACCGGCUAACUACGUG
RNAcentral lists this ribosomal RNA (468 nucleotides) under uncultured bacterium. Its description in RNAcentral is "partial 16S ribosomal RNA". It matches the Rfam family "Bacterial small subunit ribosomal RNA", at positions 28 to 507 of the family's 1533-position model. The record is from RNAcentral.